UUCAUCUUUAUUUGGGAGUAAAAGUGCAUCUGGUGACCAAAUUUAUGACAUUUUCAUCCUUUUUUUAAAAAAAAAAUUAAUCAUUCAAUAGAGAGAUCAUAGGACUCUUGUUACUUUUCCUCUUCCUGUAAUCAUUUUUCGUUAUCUCUUUCGCCUCUUUUAGCUGCUUCCCUUUCAACUCCCGGGUCCAAGAAUUCGAUUAAUCUAUAGCAAUCACCACAGGAUUUCUCCUGGUUGGUUCCCUUAUUUUCACAUCUCAUGCCUGUUUGAUUACUUUUGGGCCUCUGAUAGAUUCAUCUUCUGUUUUUUCAGGAUUUUGACAUUGGGUGGGCUUGUUUGGGUGUUCUUCGGGGUUCUGAUGCUAAUGUCUUUGCAGCCGUUAUGAAAGCAGUUGAGGCCAUUCUAUCGAAGGCUACUAUUAAGACACAGACCGUCCAAGGUUCCAGAGGGAGUGUGUUGAGCGCAAUAACAAGCUGUUGUACUACAUCCUUGAUUGCCUUAGCAUGGGUUCAUCAUCAAGGUGACGAUAUGUCCUGUUCCUGGCACCAUCAAGAUUGAAAGUUUGGAGAUCAACAGCAAGGCCUUGUCAGUGAAUUUGACACUAGAAAGUAAUGGCUGAGUCUGGAUGUAUUGCUUCAGUUGAUGCAGCAAAAGCUAAAGGGUAUAACUGAUUUCAUGGCAGAAACUUGAUUUCUCACUUCCCCCUUUUGAAUAAUGUACAUUCUUGGGAACACUUGACCAAUUAGGAAUGUGUUAGGAUGAUUGGUGAGAAAACUUCUUUUUUAUUUUUUUUUUGGAUGACGUAAAAACUUUUGUCAGCGAGCCAAUAUACAUUAGGCAAGAUUUAUCAAAGAUGCUUUGCACUGCAUCUGUCUCUGUUUCAAGUAGAUUAUUUGUUUGACCCGAGUGAAAG
Molecule: long non-coding RNA, 913 nt
Organism: Coffea eugenioides
Lineage: Eukaryota; Viridiplantae; Streptophyta; Magnoliopsida; Gentianales; Rubiaceae
Exons: 3
Source: RefSeq, a predicted model, not a curated record